RNAcentral lists this ribosomal RNA (447 nucleotides) under uncultured Pseudomonas sp. Its description in RNAcentral is "bacterial SSU rRNA". It matches the Rfam family "Bacterial small subunit ribosomal RNA", at positions 936 to 1382 of the family's 1533-position model. Lineage: Bacteria; Pseudomonadati; Pseudomonadota; Gammaproteobacteria; Pseudomonadales; Pseudomonadaceae. The record is from RNAcentral.
AGCAUGUGGUUAAUUCGAAGCAACGCGAAGAACCUUACCAGGCCUUGACAUGCAGAGAACUUUCCAGAGAUGGAUUGGUGCCUUCGGGAACUCUGACACAGGUGCUGCAUGGCUGUCGUCAGCUCGUGUCGUGAGAUGUUGGGUUAAGUCCCGUAACGAGCGCAACCCUUGUCCUUAGUUACCAGCACGUUAAGGUGGGCACUCUAAGGAGACUGCCGGUGACAAACCGGAGGAAGGUGGGGAUGACGUCGAGUCAUCAUGGCCCUUACGGCCUGGGCUACACACGUGCUACAAUGGUCGGUACAAAGGGUUGCCAAGCCGCGAGGUGGAGCUAAUCCCAUAAAACCGAUCGUAGUCCGGAUCGCAGUCUGCAACUCGACUGCGUGAAGUCGGAAUCGCUAGUAAUCGUGGAUCAGCCAAGCCGCGGUGAAUACGUUCCCGGGCCUU